Molecule: long non-coding RNA, 945 nt
Filed under: Gallus gallus (chicken)
Lineage: Eukaryota; Metazoa; Chordata; Aves; Galliformes; Phasianidae
Description: long non-coding RNA NONGGAT011761
Source: RNAcentral
ACACUGUGCAGCAUUCCAGGAUAUUGCCACCAACUGUGCUUCAUACUCAAGGAAACUUCAAAAGCCUGUAUUUACUCACCCCUCUUUGUAGGACUGCAGUAGCACAUUUAGCUCUGAAGGCACUGUGAUAUUUGUGUCUAAACCAUGAACCCUGAGUUGGAAAAUCUCUGAAACAAUCAAAAGUAACUGCUACGAGGUGAACAUCCAUCUGGAACCCUGCACUCGGUGCAUGCAGCUUGCUGCUUCGUCACUUUGGGUCUGGGUUUUACUUCCUUUUUGCAGUUUUUGUGCUUUGUUCUCUCAUCAUGAGAGAUCUGGAUAGCUCCUGGUACAGGGAGUCUUCUAGGCAGUCGAGGACUUCCUGAGAGUGGCAACAUGAACACAUGGGAUGAGAUCAUGUUCUCCCUCUGGCCUUACGGCUUCCAACAGAGCUGCUGUAUCUGAAAGUUUUGGGGCUGGAUGUGUCAGACGGGCGCGCUGAGGAGAUGAUACAGAGUUCUGCUGCACUAAUCCCUCUCCAGAAUGGUACCAGAACAGUAACUUGCUACAGCAGCUUAGACUUUGUGCAUUAGACGGUCUUACUAAUCACACUGAGGUUGUUCAAUUUCUGUAGUGAUAUGAGUAUAAGGAAUACUUCCCUUGUCACAGCAGUUAUUGAUGUUACUGGAGGGACAUUGUACAUCCAAAAUAACACCAACCAAAACAAGAAGAAAGGUGUUCAGAUGAGAAUAGGACUGCUUAGGAGGAGACUGUGUGUGUGCUCAAAUUCAGCUUAUUUCAGUGCAGAUUUCCAGUGCUAACAAGUGAACUGAUUUGUUAUAGAAAAGCUGCUGGAAAUAAUCAUCAGAACUGAUGAUCCGUUCUGCAUUUGGUUUUCUUAAUAUGUAAAAUAUGGAGAAAUACAACAAAAUAUUUGGAAUUGGAGGAAAUUCUAAUGCCUCUGUG